Molecule: ribosomal RNA, 470 nt
Filed under: uncultured bacterium
Lineage: Bacteria
Description: partial 16S ribosomal RNA
Rfam family: Bacterial small subunit ribosomal RNA
Source: RNAcentral
GACGAACGCUGGCGGCGUGCUUAACACAUGCAAGUCGAACGGUGAACGAGGGAGCUCGCUCCCUCCGGAUCAGUGGCGAACGGGUGAGUAACACGUGAGCAAUCUGCCCCGAACUCUGGGAUAAGCGUUGGAAACGACGUCUAAUACCGGAUACGACGCGGGAGGGCAUCCUCUCCGCGUGGAAAGAACUUCGGUUCGGGAUGAGCUCGCGGCCUAUCAGCUUGUUGGUGAGGUAACGGCUCACCAAGGCGACGACGGGUAGCCGGCCUGAGAGGGUGACGGGCCACACGGGGCGGGAGAACGGGCCCAGCCCCCGACGGGGGGAAGAAGGGGGGAAUAUGGCAAAAGGGGCGCAGGCUGGAGCCAGCAACGCGGGGGGGGGGAGGAGGGCUUUCGGUUUGUAACCCUUUUUUAGAGGGGAAGAAGGGAAAGGGAGGGACCCUGAAAAAAAAGCCCCGGCAAACUCCGUC